Molecule: long non-coding RNA, 2139 nt
Filed under: Scleropages formosus (Asian bonytongue)
Lineage: Eukaryota; Metazoa; Chordata; Actinopteri; Osteoglossiformes; Osteoglossidae
Description: lncRNA (ENSSFOG00015028371.1)
Source: RNAcentral
GCGGGAAACGGGUCUAUUGUAAAUAGUUGGAUUGUGGGUAAAACGGAGUUAAAUGUUCAACCGCUGCAGAGGCUUCUGGGGAAAAUAAAGGGGUGACUGUGUGUUUGGCACUGGAGAAACAGAGAAAGUGAGGGGGGCGCUAAGAUGGCUGGAAAGGUUGGUUAGCGAUGCAGGUCCUUGAGGAAAAGAGGUUCUCGGAUCGAAAGCAUCAUUUUCUUUGUUUGCUGAUGAGUGAUGUUCUAAUAAGACGUUCGUUAUGAACGCUCCCUGCGCGUCCUUCUUCGCCCCAUCCGAACCCAGAGCGCUGCGCGCCGCAAUAUGUUUACAGCUAUACACGGUCUCCUGCUAAUUUCUGUAGGGUCGUGUCCCAUGAGGAUGACCUGGUGAACCUGCCAUCUGUGACAUGUUGGCUUUACGCGCUGUGUCACUCCUCCAUUGCUCGUGUAAAAGGGACAGUCCGCUCUGUAAGUACAGAUUAUAAUUUAAUUUUUAGGGAAUUGUAAUGUAAAAAAAAAUCUCAUUCAUUUAGUAAAAUCGUGUAUAAAAACGACAUUGCAGUACCUAGGCGAUAUCAUUUGAUUUGAAUUGUGAGCGCUUUCCUCGUCGUCCGACAGGUCAGAUGUUCCUUUAAAAAAGUGCAUCCCCUCCGCCGCGUGGGCCGGUUCGUGGGAGAUGACGCCCCGUCCACGAGCGCAACUCAACUCGUGAACCACUCAGGACCGGGGGUUUGAGCGCCGCGGCUCGGGGAUCCGGGGUCGUGUGCUCGUUUGCGGGAGCGGAUCCAGAGAGAUGCUCGGCCGACAACAACACCGAGCCCCGAGAGAGAGAGAGCCGCACCGUUAUAUUUGUGCAAUCGUUUCCAAAAUCGUUGCCUUUAAAUAAAAAAAUACUUUAAAAUUAUUUAAAAAAAAAAAAAAUAGCGACCAAUUCAACAAAGGGGUCUAAAUAAGCGCUUUACGAUUUUUUUUUUUUCUCUUUUCUUCGAAUAAAGGUAACAAUGGAUGUGGCGGAUCUGUCGUUCGCUUUGCCUGCGAUUCUUUUCACGCUUCUUGCGAUUGUUUUAGCGAAUACGAUUUUCGGUAAGAAAACCACGAGUGUCCCGCAGUCCGAGGCGCAGAGCGGUGCUCCCGCUGAGAGCGACUGGACCGCGGACGAGCGAUGUGAGCGUGGACGAGAGGCGGACACACCGGCCCUGCCGCCUCCUCGGACCAUAAUAAAGGGGGAAUUUGAGGGAGCGGAGCCCGUCGGCGGGGGGCAGCUGCAGGAGGACGGAGCGGCACCCGCCGAGUCCCCGCCGGGCCCGCAGGUGGAGGACGACGUGGGCGUGAGCACGAGCACGAGGUGCCCGGGACGCCGCCAGGUGUCCGGGGAACCGGAUUAUAACACGGAAGGGAGUCCUGAAAUCGUGGGUGAAGGAGACUGUAAAGCAGUGCCGGAGGCUCAGACAGCGUUCUUGAAGACAACCAAUUUGGUGCAUGACCCUAUCCAAGACGUGGACGUCAUCUCCAGACCCAUCCCUGUCAAUGUGGCACCCUGCCACCUCUCACUUGAGAGGGAUGUUUUUCUACACCAUCUUCCUGACGUGGAAAUUCACAAGACCAGCCCAGACUCAGAUUCGGAACCUGCACUUGAACAGGUGGAGGAUGAUCUGGCUGCACUGGAGGAGAACCUUGCAGAGUACAGUCCAGAAAAUGAGGAUGAUGAAGAUACGAUUGCGGUCGGUACAGAGGCCCAGGAUCUCUCCCUGAGAUACGCUCUUGGGAAGCUGAGAACCAGCCAGCUGGAGGAGAUGAUGACCAAGGAGGAGGUGGAGGAGAAGGAGCAGAGGAUAGAGUUCACAACUGAUUUUACCUCUCUUUAAACCACAAGGACAAGCAGUGUGUUUUAGAAAACACUUGGUAAGGGGGGAGAGAGAGCACCUAGCUGCCAUAUUCCAGCUCUUCAGAACUCAGCAGGAAUCCUUUACUCGCAUGAAGAAGGAAGACUUUUUUAGAAGACUUAUUAGAAAUGUACAAAUUGUUGCUCAUCCAAAUAAAAAACCCUCGCAUUUUAAAUUUCGCCAAUGUGCAGCCAGUUUCUUGCCUUAUUUAGUGACUUGAUUCUACCUGCUUAAGAAUGAAUGAAUGAAUGAAUGAAUGG